UCCCUGCAGCGCAAUGGGUAGUGCGUUGGACUUCUAAUCCAAAGGUUGUGAGUUGGAGUCCCAACUGGGAGAA
This 73-nucleotide transfer RNA is filed under the name Trichonephila inaurata madagascariensis. RNAcentral's name for it is "tRNA-Arg". It matches the Rfam family "tRNA". Rfam says of the family: Transfer RNA (tRNA) molecules are approximately 80 nucleotides in length. Their secondary structure includes four short double-helical elements and three loops (D, anti-codon, and T loops). Lineage: Eukaryota; Metazoa; Arthropoda; Arachnida; Araneae; Nephilidae. The record is from RNAcentral.